GUGGGUGGCAAGCGUUGUCCGGAAUUAUUGGGGCGUAAAGCGCGCGCAGGCGGUUCUUUAAGUCUGAUGUGAAAGCCCACGGGCUCAACCGUGGAGGGUCAUUGGAAACUGGAGAACUUGAGUACAGAAGAGGAAAGCGGAAUUCCACGUGUAGCGGUGAAAUGCGUAGAGAUGUGGAGGAACACCAGUGGCGAAGGCGGCUUUCUGGUCUGUAACUGACGCUGAGGCGCGAAAGCGUGGGGAGCAAACAGGAUUAGAUACCCUGGUAGUCCACGCCGUAAACGAUGAGUGCUAAGUGUUAGGGGGUUUCCGCCCCUUAGUGCUGCAGCUAACGCAUUAAGCACUCCGCCUGGGGAGUACGGCCGCAAAGGCUGA
RNAcentral lists this ribosomal RNA (375 nucleotides) under uncultured organism. RNAcentral describes it as "partial 16S ribosomal RNA". It matches the Rfam family "Bacterial small subunit ribosomal RNA", at positions 527 to 897 of the family's 1533-position model. The record is from RNAcentral.